This 240-nucleotide unclassified non-coding RNA is filed under the name soil metagenome. Its description in RNAcentral is "partial contains 5.8S ribosomal RNA, internal transcribed spacer 2, and large subunit ribosomal RNA". The record is from RNAcentral.
AAGACUAUAGACCUGCGGAGUACCUGCGGAGGGAUCAUUACAUGGCGGAGAAGGUGGGCAACCUGGCCAACAUCCAGGUUGUGAUGCCUUCACGCUCUUCCACCCUUGUCUAUUUGCACCUUCUGUCGUUCCCUCGGCGGGUUUCGACCCGCCGGCGGCAACAUUGAAAAACCCUUUUUGCAGUUAGCAUUCAAUUCUUCUGAUCAAAAUAUCAAAUCGUUACAACUUUUAACAAUGGAU